AUUGAACGCUGGCGGAAUGCUUUACACAUGCAAGUCGAACGGCAGCACGGGGGCAACCCUGGUGGCGAGUGGCGAACGGGUGAGUAAUACAUCGGAACGUGCCCAUGUCGUGGGGGAUAACGUAGCGAAAGCUACGCUAAUACCGCAUACGAUCUAAGGAUGAAAGCGGGGGACCGUAAGGCCUCGCGCGAUUGGAGCGGCCGAUGGCAGAUUAGGUAGUUGGUGGGGUAAAGGCUCACCAAGCCUGCGAUCUGUAGCUGGUCUGAGAGGACGACCAGCCACACUGGGACUGAGACACGGCCCAGACUCCUACGGGAGGCAGCAGUGGGGAAUUUUGGACAAUGGGCGCAAGCCUGAUCCAGCCAUUCCGCGUGCAGGAUGAAGGCCUUCGGGUUGUAAACUGCUUUUGUACGGAACGAAACGGUGAUCUCUAAUACAGGUUGCUAAUGACGGUACCGUAAGAAUAAGCACCGGCUAACUACGUGCCAGCAGCCGCGGUAAUACGUAGGGUGCAAGCGUUAAUCGGAAUUACUGGGCGUAAAGCGUGCGCAGGCGGUGAUGUAAGACAGGUGUGAAAUCCCCGGGCUUAACCUGGGAACUGCACUUGUGACUGCAUCGCUGGAGUACGGCAGAGGGGGAUGGAAUUCCGCGUGUAGCAG
RNAcentral lists this ribosomal RNA (659 nucleotides) under uncultured bacterium. Its description in RNAcentral is "bacterial SSU rRNA". It matches the Rfam family "Bacterial small subunit ribosomal RNA", at positions 28 to 681 of the family's 1533-position model. The record is from RNAcentral.